RNAcentral lists this ribosomal RNA (2860 nucleotides) under Cognatishimia maritima. RNAcentral's name for it is "bacterial LSU rRNA". It matches the Rfam family "Bacterial large subunit ribosomal RNA". The record is from RNAcentral. Lineage: Bacteria; Pseudomonadati; Pseudomonadota; Alphaproteobacteria; Rhodobacterales; Paracoccaceae.
AAUCAAGCGCGAGAAGGGCGUUUGGUGGAUGCCUUGGCAGUAAGAGGCGAUGAAAGACGUGAUACUCUGCGAUAAGUCAUGGGGAGCUGAGAAUAAGCUUUGAUCCAUGAAUUUCUGAAUGGGGGAACCCACCUGACAGUUUGUUAUAAAAUGCUCUGCAUUUUAUAACUUGCUGAACCAGGUACUUAAGACCUGAAUACAUAGGGUUUUAAGAGCAAACCCGGGGAACUGAAACAUCUAAGUACCCGGAGGAAAGGAAAUCAAUUGAUACUCCCCUAGUAGCGGCGAGCGAACGGGGACCAGCCAAGCCUGAUAAGUGACUAGAACGUGUUGGGAAGCACGGCCAUAGCGGGUGAUAGCCCCGUAUAGGAAGCUUUGAAGGAUGUAUUAAGUAGGGCGGGACACGUGAAAUCCUGUCUGAAGAUCGGAGGACCACCUUCGAAGGCUAAGUACUCCUUACUGACCGAUAGCGAACCAGUACCGUGAGGGAAAGGUGAAAAGCACCCCGACAAGGGGAGUGAAACAGUACCUGAAACCGAACGCCUACAAUCAGUUGGAGGCCCCUUGAGGGCUGACAGCGUACCUUUUGUAUAAUGGGUCAUCGACUUAGUGUAUCUAGCAAGCUUAAGCCGUUAGGUGUAGGCGCAGCGAAAGCGAGUCUUAAUAGGGCGCUUGAGUUAGAUGCAUUAGACCCGAAACCGAGUGAUCUAGGCAUGACCAGGAUGAAGGUAAGGUAACACUUACUGGAGGUCCGAACCCACACCUGUUGAAAAAGGUCGGGAUGAGUUGUGCCUAGGGGUGAAAGGCCAAUCAAACUCGGAGAUAGCUGGUUCUCUGCGAAAUCUAUUUAGGUAGAGCGUCAUCCGAAUACCCCGGGGGGUAGAGCACUGAAUGGGUAAUGGGGGCCCACAGCCUUACUGAUCCUAAUCAAACUCCGAAUACCCGGGAGUACUAGAUGGCAGACACACUGCGGAUGCUAACGUCCGUAGUGGAGAGGGAAACAACCCUGACCUACGACUAAGGCCCCUAAUUCAUGGCUAAGUGGGAAAGCAGGUGGGACGACCAAAACAACCAGGAGGUUGGCUUAGAAGCAGCCAUCCUUUAAAGAUAGCGUAACAGCUCACUGGUCUAAAUAAGUUGUCCUGCGGCGAAGAUGUAACGGGGCUCAAGCCAUGAGCCGAAGUCUAGGAUAGUGACAUUCCUUCGGGAAUGCACUGUGGUAGCAGAGCGUAGUGUGACAUAGGGAUUUAGUCCUCAAGUAGCGAAGCGGUAGGACAUCAUAUAAUGAGUGUCGGAGACACGAAGCUUUCGAUGAAGCUGGGGCGUGAGCCAUCCGGUGGAGAGAUCACUAGUGAGAAUGAUGACAUGAGUAGCGACAAAGAGUGUGAGAGACACUCUCGCCGAAAGUCCAAGGGUUCCUGCUUAAAGCUAAUCUGAGCAGGGUAAGCCGACCCCUAAGGCGAGGCCGAAAGGCGUAGUCGAUGGGAACCAGGUUAAUAUUCCUGGGCCAGAUGGAAGUGACGGAUUGCGACGGUUGUUCCUCCUUAUUGGAUUGGAGGGGCCGCUUAGCAGUUCCUGGAAAUAGCUCCAUCGCUAGAUCGUACCCUAAACCGACACAGGUGGACUGGUAGAGAAUACCAAGGCGCUUGAGAGAACGAUGUUGAAGGAACUCGGCAAAAUACCUCCGUAAGUUCGCGAGAAGGAGGCCCAGUUUCUACGCAAGUAUUGGCUGGGGGCACAAACCAGGGGGUGGCGACUGUUUACUAAAAACACAGGGCUCUGCGAAGUCGCAAGACGACGUAUAGGGUCUGACGCCUGCCCGGUGCCUGAAGGUUAAAAGGAGGGGUGAGAGCUCCGAAUUGAAGCCCAGGUAAACGGCGGCCGUAACUAUAACGGUCCUAAGGUAGCGAAAUUCCUUGUCGGGUAAGUUCCGACCUGCACGAAUGGCGUAACGACUUCCCCACUGUCUCCAACAUCGACUCAGCGAAAUUGAAUUGCCUGUCAAGAUGCAGGCUUCCCGCGGUUAGACGGAAAGACCCCGUGCACCUUUACUACAGCUUCACACUGGCAUCAGGCCAUGCAUGUGCAGGAUAGGUGGUGGGCAUUGAAACCGUGACGCCAGUCGCGGUGGAGCCUCCCUUGAGAUACCACCCUUGCAUUGCUUGAUGUCUAACCGCGGUCCGUUAUCCGGAUCCGGGACCCUGUGUGGCGGGUAGUUUGACUGGGGCGGUCGCCUCCUAAAGCGUAACGGAGGCGCGCGAAGGUUGGCUCAGAGCGGUCGGAAAUCGCUCGUUGAGUGCAAUGGCAGAAGCCAGCCUGACUGCAAGACUGACAAGUCGAGCAGAGUCGAAAGACGGCCAUAGUGAUCCGGUGGUCCCGAGUGGAAGGGCCAUCGCUCAACGGAUAAAAGGUACGCCGGGGAUAACAGGCUGAUACUGCCCAAGAGUCCAUAUCGACGGCAGUGUUUGGCACCUCGAUGUCGGCUCAUCUCAUCCUGGGGCUGGAGCAGGUCCCAAGGGUACGGCUGUUCGCCGUUUAAAGAGGUACGUGAGCUGGGUUUAGAACGUCGUGAGACAGUUCGGUCCCUAUCUGCCGUGGGUGUAGGAUACUUGAGAGGAGUUGCCCCUAGUACGAGAGGACCGGGGUGAACGAUCCACUGGUGGACCUGUUGUUGCGCCAGCAGCAGUGCAGGGUAGCUAUGAUCGGACAGGAUAACCGCUGAAGGCAUCUAAGCGGGAAGCCCCCCUCAAAACAAGGUAUCCCUGAGGACCGUGGUAGACCACCACGUCGAUAGGCCGGAGAUGUAAGUGCAGCAAUGCAUUCAGUUGACCGGUACUAAUGGUCCGAUAGGCUUGAUUUG